RNAcentral lists this transfer RNA (71 nucleotides) under Prevotellaceae bacterium. RNAcentral describes it as "tRNA-Cys". It matches the Rfam family "tRNA". From Rfam's summary of the family: Transfer RNA (tRNA) molecules are approximately 80 nucleotides in length. Their secondary structure includes four short double-helical elements and three loops (D, anti-codon, and T loops). The record is from RNAcentral. Lineage: Bacteria; Pseudomonadati; Bacteroidota; Bacteroidia; Bacteroidales; Prevotellaceae.
GGUACCAUGGCCGAGUGGUGAGGCAGCGGUCUGCAAAACCGCGUACAGCAGUUCGAGUCUGCUUGGUACCU